Molecule: ribosomal RNA, 443 nt
Filed under: uncultured bacterium
Lineage: Bacteria
Description: partial 16S ribosomal RNA
Rfam family: Bacterial small subunit ribosomal RNA
Source: RNAcentral
CCUACGGGAGGCAGCAGUGGGGAAUAUUGGGCAAUGGAGGCAACUCUGACCCAGCAACGCCGCGUGAAUGAUGAAGGUCUUCGGAUUGUAAAGUUCUUUUCUAAGGGAAGAAGAAAGUGACGGUACCUUAGGAAUAAGCCUCGGCUAACUACGUGCCAGCAGCCGCGGUAAUACGUAGGAGGCAAGCGUUAUCCGGAAUGACUGGGCGUAAAGGGUGCGUAGGUGGUUUGACAAGUUAGUAGCGCAACUCCGGAGCUCAACUUCGGAACUACUACUAAAACUGUUGGACUUGAGUGCAGGAGGGGCAAUCGGAAUUCCUAGGGUAGCGGUGGAAUGCGUAGAUAUUAGGAGGAACUCCGAUUGCGAAGGCAGCAUACCGGCUCCAUACUGACGCUGAGGCACGAAAGCGUGGGGAUCGAACAGGAUUAGAUACCCCUGUAGUC